This 725-nucleotide long non-coding RNA is filed under the name Oryza brachyantha (malo sina). RNAcentral's name for it is "long non-coding RNA (OBRA_LNC003264)". The record is from RNAcentral. Lineage: Eukaryota; Viridiplantae; Streptophyta; Magnoliopsida; Poales; Poaceae.
AAUGAACACCCUAUAAAAUCAUUGCCUUCGAUAAUAUACAUUAUAGGAUUGGGAGACAUCGGGAAUACUGUUGGUGAAUGCUGUCCUAUUAGGUGCUCUUCUGAGACAAAUGUAACACAAUGUUUCUUAUGCAUUUUUUUCUAGAAGCCAUGAUCGAUCUCAAAAGCUUCUCUUAAUGCUAAGAGCUUGAAAAUGAAGAUAAUGGACCGUUCCAUAGCGUAGGUUUGCACCCAUAAAUAUAGCAACGAUUUACAAGAGUCGCUCAUGUCAACCUAUAUAUGCUUUUGCCUGUAUGUUCUGAAAUUUACCUUUCAUCUUAUGCUGAUAAUGAAGUACUUGCUAACCUAAACAAGUACAUCGUAAUAGGCAUGCCUCAAUUAUCCAACUUUCUUAUUCGGGCAGAUAUACCAAAUGCUUAAAACCAGUGCAUUUAAAAUUCUCUUAAUUCUGUAUUGACUGAUCUUGGUCUCUUUGUGUUAGUGUUUCACCUCGUCAGAUAAAGUAUCAUAUUGGCAUAAUAUGCAUCAAGACAAAUAUAUUCAGUUGACCAUGAAGAGAAAGCUAUGUGUGUAACCCUUGGUGCAUAGGUAGACUGGCAUGAUGUGGUUAUAUAUGCUUCAUGCUGUGUUACAAGUACUGGGAUGGGAGGCAGACAAUCAUAUAUUGUUAUUUGUUGCAACUCAGCCAGUACUUGUGAAAGUAUUUUGGAGCAGAGAAAUCCAAAU